GAGCAAAGCUGCAGGAAGCACACAGCUGGAGGCAGGUAGAGCUGUAAAGAGUGGUUUCGGGCAUGGAGGUCUCUCAUUCUUGCCAUCAAUCCAAUGCCAGCUGUAGCCCUUUGGGUAAUGAUGAGGGAAACCACUAAACCUUUCUUAAGGAAGGGGUUCAGAUCUGCCAGGAGGGGACAUCGAUGACACCUUGGUGCCAAAGCCAUCGCCUGCAAAUGCCAGGUCCUGUGGGCAGGACUUGGGCAGGAACAGCAGGAGCUGAAGGGAAGGAGGAGAGAGUGGAGGCAGCAAACGUGACAGAGCCUAGAUGUUGCCAUGGAGAGUAGCUCAUGAAUUUUUCCUCCAUGGCCUGCUAUUAAAAAUGUUUUGUUUAGCUUCUGCCAGCACAUUGUUUUUAUUUUCCCCUCCCAUGUCCGAAGGACAUCCAGAGGGAAUUCUGGCUCACUCCAUUCCCUUUGGCCUCGCUGUAUACAAAAAUAUACAGUCACUUGACAAGGGAGAGCUGGCACCUGCAAUCCUUGUCUCCACAGGGUUUGUUCCAGAUCCUGAGCCUGCAGAAGGCAGGCUGUGGAUGGGAGUAGCUCUCUGGUUCCCCAACACAUGUGGAAAACAUCCCAAAGCACUGUGUGCCCAUGGCUGAUCCCAGCUGUCUCAGCACCUGGGUAGCUCCAGCACUGAGCUCUGCAUCUGUUUGUUAUUAGGAGGUUUGUGUCGUGCGGUCAAAACACACUUGACAGUGUUUGUGUAACUUCUACAGAAGACAGCCCACGUGCAAGUAAGACAGCAGUGCCUUUGCAUCAAAAAUGAGAUUUUUCCUUGUAUUUAAUGCUCUAGAAAAAGUUAACUCUUCUAAAAAUGCCGAGUUUUUUAAUGAAAACUUCAAAACUUGACUGCAACAAACUUUCACAGACUUCCAAGGCUAAAAAUACGCAGCAAAAAUCUUAAAUUACAUGGAAGGGGGGCCUGCAUGGAGGUGAAGUGACUUACUAAAGCUUUAAUUAUACACGGACCCAUCAAAAUUAUUUUUACUCUGCAGCACUGCAAUGUUUUGAACGCUUAAAAGCAGCCACCCAUAAAUAGUGAGAUUGAAGUACAGCUUGU
This is a long non-coding RNA of Parus major (Great Tit), 1101 nucleotides long. RefSeq lists it as uncharacterized. The record is from RefSeq and is a predicted model, not a curated record. Lineage: Eukaryota; Metazoa; Chordata; Aves; Passeriformes; Paridae. The transcript is spliced from 3 exons.